This 934-nucleotide long non-coding RNA is filed under the name Polistes dominula (European paper wasp). RNAcentral describes it as "uncharacterized LOC107067114, transcript variant X3". The record is from RNAcentral. Lineage: Eukaryota; Metazoa; Arthropoda; Insecta; Hymenoptera; Vespidae.
AAAAAAACAAAAAAAAAAAAUAAUACAAAAAAAAGAAAAGACAAGACCACAAAAAAAUUGAAUGAUGAAUCUACCAGAUAUAUGAUCUUAACGCCUUCUUCCAUGGAUAAGAUAAUGUCUUGUAUUCUCGUCUAUCAAUUUUUCAAGGCAGAAAAAGAGAGAAAGAGAGAGAGAGAGAGAGAGAGAGAGAGAGAGAGAGAGAGGAGCCAUAAGAGGAAAGGGAUCGUUAAUUUUGUUUUCGUAAUGAGAUCGCCGACACAUUGUUUGUUCACCACUGAUAUCUCGAUAAAGAGUUCCCUUAAGAUAUUCAAGAGGAUAAAUUAUUUUAAUUAGACCAAAAACGAUCAAUUAAAUUGAAUACAAUGUGUGUCUUUAUUAUUCCUGCAAAUAUUCAAGAAGAUUUAUUAUUAUGUCUGGUUCUAAAAUUGACGAAGGAUAAUAAUCAUGGCUGAUGAUUCAGAAGAAGAUUGGUAUUAUUUUUGAAAAAGUAUCAGACUAAAAUUAAAAUCAUACGUAAUCGUGUUGAAUUUUUUAACACGGUAUUUAUGGGAUAGUGGUGUACGAAUAGUAUAAAAUACGUGGGCGUGAUUUUGCCAUGAGCAACGUUCAUUUUCUUGUGGUUUAUUUCUUCUUUUGGUUUGUGUGUCUCUUUGAAGACGUCAUGGUUGCGUAACACUUCAAACAGAGGAUGAGUACUACACGCAAAAACGUUAAGAACAUUUUGUUAUAGGUGGUGAAUUAUUGGUGGUAAUGAAAAAGAAGGUCAAUGGCUAAUACCUAAUGUGUUAAACUUGGCAAAGGAAAUUUAUUUAUUCAUCAUUGGGACAUCGAUAUCGACGUCAAUACCAUUAGAAAGGACUUUGCAAGAGAUCGGUGGGAUUAGAUCGACCUAUUUUCUGCCAGUACGUCUGCACUCCAUUAUUCAAUAUCAUAG